GAUGAACGCUGGCGGCGUGCUUAACACAUGCAAGUCGAACGGAAAGGCUCCUGCUUGCAGGGGUACUCGAGUGGCGAACGGGUGAGUAACACGUGGGUGAUCUGCCCUGCACUUCGGGAUAAGCCUGGGAAACUGGGUCUAAUACCGGAUAGGACCACAUUUUGGAUGGUGUGGUGGAAAGUUUUUCGGUGUGGGAUGAGCUCGCGGCCUAUCAGCUUGUUGGUGGGGUAAUGGCCUACCAAGGCGUCGACGGGUAGCCGGCCUGAGAGGGUGUACGGCCACAUUGGGACUGAGAUACGGCCCAGACUCCUACGGGAGGCAGCAGUGGGGAAUAUUGCACAAUGGGCGCAAGCCUGAUGCAGCGACGCCGCGUGGGGGAUGACGGCCUUCGGGUUGUAAACUCCUUUCGCUAGGGACGAAGCGCAAGUGACGGUACCUGGAGAAGAAGCACCGGUUAACUACGUG
Molecule: ribosomal RNA, 465 nt
Filed under: uncultured bacterium
Lineage: Bacteria
Description: partial 16S ribosomal RNA
Rfam family: Bacterial small subunit ribosomal RNA
Source: RNAcentral